RNAcentral lists this ribosomal RNA (530 nucleotides) under uncultured bacterium. RNAcentral's name for it is "partial 16S ribosomal RNA". It matches the Rfam family "Bacterial small subunit ribosomal RNA", at positions 28 to 523 of the family's 1533-position model. The record is from RNAcentral.
GACGAACGCUGGCGGCGUGCCUAAUACAUGCAAGUCGAACGAACUCUGGUAAUGAUUGGUGCUUGCAUCAUGAAUUACAUCUGAGUGAGUGGCGAACUGGUGAGUAACACGUGGGAAACCUGCCCAGAAGCGGGGGAUAACACCUGGAAACAGAUGCUAAUACCGCAUAACAACUUGGACCGCAUGGUCCGAGUUUGAAAGAUGGCUUCGGCUGUCACUUUUGGAUGGUCCCGCGGCGUAUUAGCUAGAUGGUGAGGUAACGGCUCACCAUGGCAAUGAUACGUAGCCGACCUGAGAGGGUAAUCGGCCACAUUGGGACUGAGACACGGCCCAAACUCCUACGGGAGGCAGCAGUAGGGAAUCUUCCACAAUGGACGAAAGUCUGAUGGAGCAACGCCGCGUGAGUGAAGAAGGGUUUCGGCUCGUAAAACUCUGUUGUUAAAGAAGAACAUAUCUGAGAGUAACUGUUCAGGUAUUGACGGUAUUUAACCAGAAAGCCACGGCUAACUACGUGCCAGCAGCCGCAGUAA